GGGAUAUUGCACAAUGGAGGAAACUCUGAUGCAGCGACGCCGCGUGAGUGAAGAAGUAUUUCGGUAUGUAAAGCUCUAUCAGCAGGGAAGAAAAUGACAGUACCUGACCAAGAAGCCCCGGCUAACUACGUGCCAGCAGCCGCGGUAAUACGUAGGGGGCAAGCGUUAUCCGGAUUUACUGGGUGUAAAGGGAGCGUAGACGGAAUGUCAAGUCUGAAGUGAAAUCCCCGGGCUUAACUCGGGAACUGCUUUGGAAACUGGUAUUCUUGAGUGUCGGAGAGGUAAGCGGAAUUCCUGGUGUAGUAGUGAAAUGCGUAGAUAUCAGGAAGAACACCGGAGGCGAAGGCGGCUUACUGGACGAUAACUGACGUUGAGGCUCGAAAGCGUGGGGAGCAAACA
This 399-nucleotide ribosomal RNA is filed under the name uncultured bacterium. RNAcentral describes it as "bacterial SSU rRNA". It matches the Rfam family "Bacterial small subunit ribosomal RNA", at positions 358 to 774 of the family's 1533-position model. The record is from RNAcentral.